Molecule: long non-coding RNA, 1173 nt
Organism: Amphiprion ocellaris (clown anemonefish)
Lineage: Eukaryota; Metazoa; Chordata; Actinopteri; Pomacentridae
Exons: 3
Source: RefSeq, a predicted model, not a curated record
GUCCCCACACUGUCACCAGUCUGCUGUCCCUGAGCUGCUGAGUCCUGGCAGACCUGCAUUGGCGAAACACUUGCCGGUCCGAACCUGCCUUGCCUGUCGCCAGCUCUGCUCUGACUUGGGCCAGAUUCUGGAUUUCCCCAUGCUUGCCUGCCCCUUUUAAAACUUUUCAGCGUGACUGACCGCUGGGACGAGGGGGAAAUGGAGUGAUCCGCUGGAGCUCUGCAUGGUUACCUGAAAACUUUGCACAUUACACAGGGAGUAACUGUCUGGCCUGCUACCUACCACCAGUCCCUGAGCCGUGCUGCUGUUUCGGUUCUUUUCUUUUGUACUGUUUUGGUUUUCUUUUGUUUUCCCUGUUUUUCCGUUUUUUGGGUUCUGUUGCGGUGGUUGAUCGGCUUGGAGCAGUCUCCGCCUUGGUACAGUAUGGCUGAUUGCUUCCUGGGCCCACUUUGUAGCAGAGGCCUGAUUGUGUCACAGGCUGGCCUGAGCAUGACUGCCCACACUUAGUGACAUGGGCCCAAUGUUUUAAUCCCUUAUGUAAGAAUUUUUUUUCUUUGAUUUUGUUAGUCAGAAAUUAAUUUGGUUAUUUCCUUUUGGUAUUUUUGUUUUCAUUUAAUGUGUUAAUUUUUUGUAGUUAUCUUUUAUGUAAGUCUAUUUAGUUUCACUUAUUGAACUGAUUAGUUUACUUACUGUCUGUAAACAUUUGUUUAGUACACACCGGUUUCAUUAAUUUUUGGGCAUGUUUCUUUCUUUGUUACCAGGUGCUUUGUUACCAGAAGCAGUGUUAAGAAAUCCCACUGAUGUGGGAUUGCUUAACACUGCUCAGCAUGUUACCAUAACACCUAACAGCACUUAUUUGUAAGAUAAUAUCCUUUAAAACCUAAAACAGAAGAGGGUAUAUCUGAAGUGGUGAAGGGAUGGAGACGAGUAAUUGAAUUGCAGGUUGUAAACAGAGCUGUGGUUCCACGAGCCCUAAAUGUACUUGAUCCUUAAACUCUGCUAAAAAAAAAAAAAAAAAAAAAAACUAUAUAUGGUACACCAUUGAAAAUCUGGCAAAUGCAUUUUUCUCAGUCCCAGCGGACCCACAAUCACAGUUCUGGUUUACUUUUAUCUACAAAGGAAAGAAAUUCUGACCUGUGUUGAUAAUUUGUUGAUUUGCUCACCUAGCCAAGA